UUAAGUUAUUAAGGGCGCACGGUGGAUGCCUUGGCACUAGAAGCCGAUGAAGGACGUUACUAACGACGAUAUGCUUUGGGGAGCUGUAAGUAAGCUUUGAUCCAGAGAUUUCCGAAUGGGGAAACCCAGCAUGAGUUAUGUCAUGUUAUCGAUAUGUGAAUACAUAGCAUAUCAGAAGGCACACCCGGAGAACUGAAACAUCUUAGUACCCGGAGGAAGAGAAAGAAAAUUCGAUUCCCUUAGUAGCGGCGAGCGAAACGGGAAGAGCCCAAACCAACAAGCUUGCUUGUUGGGGUUGUAGGACACUCUAUACGUAGUUACAAAGGACGACAUUAGACGAAUCAUCUGGAAAGAUGAAUCAAAGAAGGUAAUAAUCCUGUAGUCGAAAAUGUUGUCUCUCUUGAGUGGAUCCUGAGUACGACGGAGCACGUGAAAUUCCGUCGGAAUCUGGGAGGACCAUCUCCUAAGGCUAAAUAAUCUCUAGUGACCGAUAGUGAACCAGUACCGUGAGGGAAAGGUGAAAAGCACCCCGGAAGGGGAGUGAAAUAGAACCUGAAACCGUGUGCUUACAAGUAGUCAGAGCCCGUUAAUGGGUGAUGGCGUGCCUUUUGUAGAAUGAACCGGCGAGUUACGAUUUGAUGCAAGGUUAAGCAGUAAAUGUGGAGCCGUAGCGAAAGCGAGUCUGAAUAGGGCGUUUAGUAUUUGGUCGUAGACCCGAAACCAGGUGAUCUACCCUUGGUCAGGUUGAAGUUCAGGUAACACUGAAUGGAGGACCGAACCGACUUACGUUGAAAAGUGAGCGGAUGAACUGAGGGUAGCGGAGAAAUUCCAAUCGAACCUGGAGAUAGCUGGUUCUCUCCGAAAUAGCUUUAGGGCUAGCCUCAAGUGAUGAUUAUUGGAGGUAGAGCACUGUUUGGACGAGGGGCCCCUCUCGGGUUACCGAAUUCAGACAAACUCCGAAUGCCAAUUAAUUUAACUUGGGAGUCAGAACAUGGGUGAUAAGGUCCGUGUUCGAAAGGGAAACAGCCCAGACCACCAGCUAAGGUCCCAAAAUAUAUGUUAAGUGGAAAAGGAUGUGGCGUUGCCCAGACAACUAGGAUGUUGGCUUAGAAGCAGCCAUCAUUUAAAGAGUGCGUAAUAGCUCACUAGUCGAGUGACACUGCGCCGAAAAUGUACCGGGGCUAAACAUAUUACCGAAGCUGUGGAUUGUCCUUUGGACAAUGGUAGGAGAGCGUUCUAAGGGCGUUGAAGCAUGAUCGUAAGGACAUGUGGAGCGCUUAGAAGUGAGAAUGCCGGUGUGAGUAGCGAAAGACGGGUGAGAAUCCCGUCCACCGAUUGACUAAGGUUUCCAGAGGAAGGCUCGUCCGCUCUGGGUUAGUCGGGUCCUAAGCUGAGGCCGACAGGCGUAGGCGAUGGAUAACAGGUUGAUAUUCCUGUACCACCUAUAAUCGUUUUAAUCGAUGGGGGGACGCAGUAGGAUAGGCGAAGCGUGCGAUUGGAUUGCACGUCUAAGCAGUAAGGCUGAGUAUUAGGCAAAUCCGGUACUCGUUAAGGCUGAGCUGUGAUGGGGAGAAGACAUUGUGUCUUCGAGUCGUUGAUUUCACACUGCCGAGAAAAGCCUCUAGAUAGAAAAUAGGUGCCCGUACCGCAAACCGACACAGGUAGUCAAGAUGAGAAUUCUAAGGUGAGCGAGCGAACUCUCGUUAAGGAACUCGGCAAAAUGACCCCGUAACUUCGGGAGAAGGGGUGCUCUUUAGGGUUAACGCCCAGAAGAGCCGCAGUGAAUAGGCCCAAGCGACUGUUUAUCAAAAACACAGGUCUCUGCUAAACCGUAAGGUGAUGUAUAGGGGCUGACGCCUGCCCGGUGCUGGAAGGUUAAGAGGAGUGGUUAGCUUCUGCGAAGCUACGAAUCGAAGCCCCAGUAAACGGCGGCCGUAACUAUAACGGUCCUAAGGUAGCGAAAUUCCUUGUCGGGUAAGUUCCGACCCGCACGAAAGGCGUAACGAUUUGGGCACUGUCUCAACGAGAGACUCGGUGAAAUCAUAGUACCUGUGAAGAUGCAGGUUACCCGCGACAGGACGGAAAGACCCCGUGGAGCUUUACUGUAGCCUGAUAUUGAAAUUCGGCACAGCUUGUACAGGAUAGGUAGGAGCCUUUGAAACGUGAGCGCUAGCUUACGUGGAGGCGCUGGUGGGAUACUACCCUAGCUGUGUUGGCUUUCUAACCCGCACCACUUAUCGUGGUGGGAGACAGUGUCAGGCGGGCAGUUUGACUGGGGCGGUCGCCUCCUAAAAGGUAACGGAGGCGCUCAAAGGUUCCCUCAGAAUGGUUGGAAAUCAUUCAUAGAGUGUAAAGGCAUAAGGGAGCUUGACUGCGAGACCUACAAGUCGAGCAGGGUCGAAAGACGGACUUAGUGAUCCGGUGGUUCCGCAUGGAAGGGCCAUCGCUCAACGGAUAAAAGCUACCCCGGGGAUAACAGGCUUAUCUCCCCCAAGAGUUCACAUCGACGGGGAGGUUUGGCACCUCGAUGUCGGCUCAUCGCAUCCUGGGGCUGUAGUCGGUCCCAAGGGUUGGGCUGUUCGCCCAUUAAAGCGGUACGCGAGCUGGGUUCAGAACGUCGUGAGACAGUUCGGUCCCUAUCCGUCGUGGGCGUAGGAAAUUUGAGAGGAGCUGUCCUUAGUACGAGAGGACCGGGAUGGACAUACCUCUGGUGUACCAGUUGUCGUGCCAACGGCAUAGCUGGGUAGCUAUGUGUGGACGGGAUAAGUGCUGAAAGCAUCUAAGCAUGAAGCCCCCCUCAAGAUGAGAUUUCCCAACUUCGGUUAUAAGAUCCCUCAAAGAUGAUGAGGUUAAUAGGUUCGAGGUGGAAGCAUGGUGACAUGUGGAGCUGACGAAUACUAAUCGAUCGAAGACUUAAUCAA
This 2921-nucleotide ribosomal RNA is filed under the name Staphylococcus aureus M0685. Its description in RNAcentral is "bacterial LSU rRNA". It matches the Rfam family "Bacterial large subunit ribosomal RNA". Lineage: Bacteria; Bacillati; Bacillota; Bacilli; Caryophanales; Staphylococcaceae. The record is from RNAcentral.